RNAcentral lists this ribosomal RNA (254 nucleotides) under uncultured bacterium. Its description in RNAcentral is "partial 16S ribosomal RNA". It matches the Rfam family "Bacterial small subunit ribosomal RNA", at positions 524 to 776 of the family's 1533-position model. The record is from RNAcentral.
CACGUAGGGGCCAAGCGUUGUCCGGAUUCAUUGGGCGUAAAGAGCUCGUAGGCGGUUCAGUAAGUCGGGUGUGAAAGCUCCGAGCUCAACUCGGAGAGGCCACCCGAUACUGUCGUGACUAGAGUCCAGUAGGGGAGCGUGGAAUUCCUGGUGUAGCGGUGAAAUGCGCAGAUAUCAGGAGGAACACCAGCGGCGAAGGCGGCGCUCUGGGCUGGCACUGACGCUGAGGAGCGAAAGCGUGGGGAGCGAACAGG